AGUGAACGCUGGCGGUAGGCCUAACACAUGCCAGUCGAACGGCAGCACAGUAAGAGCUUGCUCUUACGGGUGGCGAGUGGCGGACGGGUGAGGAAUACAUCGGAAUCUACUUUUUCGUGGGGGAUAACGAAGGGAAACUUACGCUAAUACCGCAUACGACCUACGGGUGAAAGCAGGAGAUCUUCGGACCUUGCGCGUUUGAAUGAGCCGAUGCCGGAUUAGCUAGUUGGCGGGGUAAAGGCCCACCAAGGCGACGAUCCGUAGCUGGCCUGGGAGGAUGAUCAGCCACACUGGAACUGAGACACGGUCCAGACUCCUACGGGAGGCAGCAGUGGGGAAUAUUGGACAAUGGGCGCAAGCCUGAUCCAGCCAUACCGCGUGGGUGAAGAAGGCCUUCGGGUUGUAAAGCCCUUUUGUUGGGAAAGAAAAGCAGCAGGUUAAUACCCCGCUGUUCUGACGGUACCCAAAGAAUAAGCACCGGCUAACUUCGUG
Molecule: ribosomal RNA, 492 nt
Filed under: uncultured bacterium
Lineage: Bacteria
Description: partial 16S ribosomal RNA
Rfam family: Bacterial small subunit ribosomal RNA
Source: RNAcentral